AUUGAACGCUGGCGGCAUGCCUAACACAUGCAAGUCGAACGGCAGCGCGGGGCAACCCUUGCGGCGAGUGGCGGACGGGUGAGGAAUGCAUAGGAAUCUGCCCGGUUGUGGGGGAUAACGUAGGGAAACUUACGCCAAUACCCCCUACCGCCUUCCGGUGAAAGGGGGGGACCUUCGGGCCUCACCCCAUCGGCUUAACCUAUGCCCGAUUAGCUAGUUGGCGGGGUAAGAGCCCACCAAGGCGACGAUCGGUAGCUGGUCUGAGAGGAUGAUCAGCCACACUGGGACUGAGACACGGCCCAGACUCCUACGGGAGGCAGCAGUGGGGAAUAUUGGACAAUGGGCGCAAGCCUGAUCCAGCAAUGCCGCGUGUGUGAAGAAGGCCUUCGGGUUGUAAAGCACUUUUGUUCGGGAAGAAAUCCGUGUGGUUAAUACCCGUACGGGAUGACGGUACCGAAAGAAUAAGCACCGGCUAACUUCGUG
This 483-nucleotide ribosomal RNA is filed under the name uncultured bacterium. RNAcentral describes it as "partial 16S ribosomal RNA". It matches the Rfam family "Bacterial small subunit ribosomal RNA", at positions 30 to 507 of the family's 1533-position model. The record is from RNAcentral.